This 404-nucleotide ribosomal RNA is filed under the name uncultured bacterium. RNAcentral's name for it is "bacterial SSU rRNA". It matches the Rfam family "Bacterial small subunit ribosomal RNA", at positions 355 to 776 of the family's 1533-position model. The record is from RNAcentral.
UGGGGAAUCUUGCACAAUGGGCGAAAGCCUGAUGCAGCCAUGCCGCGUGAAUGAUGAAGGCCUUAGGGUUGUAAAAUUCUUUCGCUAGGGAUGAUAAUGACAGUACCUAGUAAAGAAGCCCCGGCUAACUUCGUGCCAGCAGCCGCGGUAAUACGAAGGGGGCUAGCGUUGUUCGGAAUUACUGGGCGUAAAGCGCGCGUAGGCGGGCUAUUAAGCCAGAUGUGAAAGCCCGGAGCUCAACUCCGGAACUGCAUUUGGAACUGGUAGCCUAGAGACCAGGAGAGGUUAGCGGAAUACCGAGUGUAGAGGUGAAAUUCGUAGAUAUUCGGUGGAACACCAGUGGCGAAGGCGGCUAACUGGACUGGUACUGACGCUGAGGCGCGAAAGUGUGGGGAGCAAACAGG